ACGUAGGGAGCAAGCGUUGUCCGGAAUUAUUGGGCGUAAAGGGCGUGUAGGUGGGCUGUUAAGUCCGGUGUGAAAAUGCGGGGCUCAACCCCGGAGGGCAUUGGAAACUGGAAUUCUUGAGUGCAGGAGAGGAAAGGGGAAUUCCCAGUGUAGCGGUGAAAUGCGUAGAUAUUAGGAGGAACACCAGUGGCGAAGGCGGCUUUCUGGACUGUGUCUGACACUGAGACGCGAAAGCUAGGGGAGCAAACGG
RNAcentral lists this ribosomal RNA (250 nucleotides) under uncultured prokaryote. Its description in RNAcentral is "partial 16S rRNA". It matches the Rfam family "Bacterial small subunit ribosomal RNA", at positions 525 to 775 of the family's 1533-position model. The record is from RNAcentral.